GCGAGGCCCACUCCGACGGUGACGUGUUACUUCACUGUGUGGUGGAUGCGAUUUUGGGGGCCUUGGGGCUUCCUGAUAUCGGACAGAUAUUUCCGGAUACUAAUCCGAAGUGGAAGGGGGCGGAUUCGUCGGUUUUCAUGAAGGAGGCUGUAAGACUUAUGCAUGAUGCAGGUUAUGAGCUCGGUAACCUAGACGCGACGUUGAUCCUCCAGAAGCCAAAGCUUAGCCCACACAAGGAGGCCAUCAGGGCAAACCUUUGUGAUCUGCUUGGUGCAGACCCAUCCGUCGUAAAUCUCAAAGCGAAGACUCAUGAGAAGGUUGACAGUCUCGGAGAGAAUCGAAGUAUCGCUGCUCAUACUGUUGUUCUUCUGAUGAGGAAGUGAGUCGAACCAAAUUUACUUGUUAAG
Molecule: unclassified non-coding RNA, 407 nt
Filed under: Hevea brasiliensis (rubber tree)
Lineage: Eukaryota; Viridiplantae; Streptophyta; Magnoliopsida; Malpighiales; Euphorbiaceae
Source: RNAcentral